Molecule: long non-coding RNA, 596 nt
Filed under: Olea europaea (common olive)
Lineage: Eukaryota; Viridiplantae; Streptophyta; Magnoliopsida; Lamiales; Oleaceae
Description: long non-coding RNA (OEUR_LNC006739)
Source: RNAcentral
AAAUCAUUCAAGCCGUGUCUCCUCCGUCUCCCUUUCUUUCUUCCUUCAAUCUUCUCUUUCUCCUCCCUUCUCGAUGCCAGCUCCGACUUACCUGCACCAAUCGAAUUAUAGCUUUUCCCAUGAACACGACACUACAACUAGGAUCUUCUAUUAAGGUAUUCAUUUCUUCCCUGACGGCAUAGUUCGAGCCUCUCGCCUUCUCGACAAUGAAAUCCAAAUACACAAGGUUUUUCUGUCUUUCUCUCUCUUCCUGCGUGAGAAAUUAGAUUACAACUUUGUCUUGUUACGUAAUAUACGAUUUAAUUUCUUUAGGAAGAGUUGCAGAGAACAAAUCUGGCGAUUUGAAUUUCUGUGGGUUAAUAUUAAAUUAUGUGAGUUUCUUUUAAUGCUACUAAAAUAAGUUAAAUGGUCUCUGGUUUACCAAUAGUUUAGGGAAUAGGUAACUGGUGUAAUGUACAAGAUUUUGGUUAAUUUUGGCAAUGGUAGUGGUUAAUUUUGGUUGGUGGUUCAUGGUGGUGGUGUUGAUUUUGGCGGUGGUUGAUGGUGUUGGUGGCAGUGAUUGGUGGUGGUGUGUAUUUUGGUCGGCUUUGUGGUGG